AUUGAACGCUGGCGGCAGGCCUAACACAUGCAAGUCGAGCGAGCGGCGGACGGGUGAGUACUGUAUGGGGACUGCCCGAUAGAGGGGGAUAACUACUGGAAACGGUGGCUAAUACCGCAUACUGGCGGAUAACCCAUAUGGGAUUAGCUAGUAGGUAGGGUAAUGGCUUACCUAGGCGACGAACCCUAGCUGGUCUGAGAGGAUGAUCCGCCACACUGGGACGGAGACACGGCCCACACGCCGACGGAGGCAGCAGUGGGGAAUAUUGCACAGUGGGGGAAAGCCUGAUGCAGCCAUGCCGCGUGUAUGAAGAAGGCCCUAGGGUUGUAAAGUACUUUCAGUCGGGAGGCGUUACCGACAGAAGAAGCACCGGCUAACUCCGUGCCAGCAGCCGCGGUAAUAC
RNAcentral lists this ribosomal RNA (403 nucleotides) under uncultured bacterium. RNAcentral describes it as "partial 16S ribosomal RNA". It matches the Rfam family "Bacterial small subunit ribosomal RNA", at positions 29 to 526 of the family's 1533-position model. The record is from RNAcentral.